Molecule: long non-coding RNA, 565 nt
Organism: Alligator sinensis (Chinese alligator)
Lineage: Eukaryota; Metazoa; Chordata; Crocodylia; Alligatoridae
Exons: 3
Source: RefSeq, a predicted model, not a curated record
UCCAGAGCCCACACAAUUAAAAACACAACACAGCAUGAAGCCUAAGAAAGAAAUGUAACUAGAAUGUCAUAAGUAAAAGCUGUUGCUUAACUGAACUAAUCAUACCAUGAUGAACUAUAAAUCAACUUUAGACCUAAAGACUAAAUUCUGGGUUAUAUAUUUAGAGAAGCAGAAUGAAUUCAGCGGCAUGGAACUUGGCGUUUUGGUUAGAUCUCUCUAAGCAGAACUUCCACCAGUGCUUCAUAUAAACAUGUACAAUUAAACCAGGGAUGCCCAAUCAAGAUCCAGCCAAUGGAACUGUGUCAUCCACCGACCUGGAUAUUUCACAGCAGGGGAGUGGUAGCAGCAUUAGGAACUGCUGCUCCCAGAGCUGUGGCAAUUAAUGUUGCUGCUGCUCAUCCAACUACCAAAUUUCUGGAGCCUUGGGAAGCCCUGCGGGUCUAUGGACUGGCCCUAUGCCACUCAUCUGGCCUGUGGAUUACCUGGCAUUCUGGCUACAUUGUAAAUACAUUAAAAUUGAUUUACUGGUUUUGCUUUUUUUUUUUUUUUUUUGGUAUUUUAUAGA